UAACUUCUCCAUCCUAAUUCGUUUUCUCCUGAAACUUGACGAGUGCUUAUAUAAUUAAAUUACACACAAAAACAUCAUCAACAGAGAGUUUAGCUACAUUGCCAAAUCUUUGUCCUUACACUCAACCAAAGAUGUACCCCAGUCUAGUAUAAUUAAGAAUCGCGCUCGAAUUAAUAUUUAAAUCUUAAUUAAUUUAUCUCCAAAUAUAUUUAAAUAUUAACCUAAUUCAACUAGAAAUCAACUACAAGUCUAACCAAAUCCUAACAAAAUGCCUAGUCU
Molecule: long non-coding RNA, 279 nt
Filed under: Ananas comosus (pineapple)
Lineage: Eukaryota; Viridiplantae; Streptophyta; Magnoliopsida; Poales; Bromeliaceae
Description: long non-coding RNA (ACOM_LNC024023)
Source: RNAcentral